AGCAUGCUGCCAGAGAGGAGAUCCUAGCCAAUGGAGGAAGCCUCUCGCACCACCAUGGAGUUGGGAAACUUCGUAAGGAGUGGAUGAAGGACAGCAUCUCUAACGUGGGCGUCGGGAUGCUCAAGUCCGUUAAGGACUAUGUGGACCCGGAAAACAUUUUCGGCAACCGAAACCUCCUCUAAUUUAUUUACAUGACAUUUUUAUAACAACCUCUUGGAAUAAUGGUUACUAAAUAUGACGAGCAGUAUCAAUGUCAUUCACCUUCGGGGUGACUUUGUUGUGCAGUCAACAUCAGUCAGAUGACUUGCCUUACUGCACUUAACAUGCUGGGGCGGCAGCGUAGCCUAGUGGUUAGAGCGUUGGACUAAUAACCGGAAGGUUGCAAGUUCGAAUCCCCGAGCUGACACGGUACAAAUCUAUCGUUCUGCCCCUGAACAGGCAGUUAACCCACUAGGCCGUCAUUGAAAAUAAGAAUUUGUUCUUAACUGACUUGCCUAGUAAAAUAAAGGUUAAAAUAAAUGCUGUAACGGUCAUAAUGGUCUAUGAUUCAUUUAGAAGCUCAUUGCAUCAGGUCCUCAGUAGUGUCCUCGUCCAGGAUGAUCUGGUGAAUGAAGCCGUGUGUAUCAUACUGACGAUAGUACUGUAAAUGUGUGAUGAGAUGCGGUCAUUUCAGUCACGUGUCUACAACCACGCCGGAAGAAUGCCCUUUUUCAUAUUGUACAUGAUGCAGGAUAACAUCCAUAUUUGCCUAUAAUUUAAUUUUCCUAUAAUUCUUGCCAAUUUCAUUAACUAGAUGUUUUUUUGGUAGAUGUUUAUUUUACCUGUGUAUUGGCAGUACUUUAGCAGGGAGUUCUAGAUGAAUGCUUUUUCUAAAGCUCUGUGCCUUUCUGAAGAUGUCUGUCUUCACCCUUUCCUACACAACACACACACACUGGUUUAUUUAUGGCGUCCUGUAUGUUCCCUUAUGUGCGUGUCCUUCAUUCUAGAUGUCCUGUUUCCAGUUGGUCUUUGCUUCUCCACUCAAGCCGUGUAUUACUUAUACUAUUAAUGAUUACUGGGAGAUGUGUGUUUUGUUUUACCUACCUAAGAGGAUUUAUAUUACGUUGGAAGUCGUGCCUCUUCUGAAAUGUACCUUUGGGUUAAAAUGGCCCUCAAACCCAAACGUUAAACUGUAUAUGAAGAAACUAGGAUAUGAUGCAUAUCAACGUAUUUUUUCUUAUUAAAAAAAAGUUUUAUUUUAGAUUUGACCUUGCAUGGUUUUUGCCUGUCAUACAGAGUUCAGUUUGUGGACAGAGACAUACGUGCUUUUAGUGUGAACAUUUUACAGACUACUGAAUCCCAAUACCCAUGUUUGUUCCAAAGACUUUCAGCACAGCCCUUUCACUACUUUAUAUAGACCAUGCAAACAUCCUGGAUAUGUAGGUCUGUACAUGCCGUAUAGUUAAAUGUAUGGCACGUUCAUACAGUUAAUACAUGAACCUAUAUCCUGAUUAAACUUCUUUUUUUUUCGAUAUGCAAAUUUACAAAUAUCAAAAGAUGUGUUCAUAUUUGUUACUUUAAAUGUUACGUGUUCAUGUCAAAGAAAAACAUUUUCUUUAAAUUCAAUUACAAUAUUUUGUCACUACUUAAAACAGUUGCUUGAGGUUGUAUUUAGACAACAACGAAAUGCAUCCGACUGAAUUGUCUGUUCCCUGGUGAGCGUCCCAGCGUUGUGGUAAUGUUGGAAACGAUACAUUUGAGUGAAAGAUAAUUGUACCUUUCGUCACAAUUUACAGAUGAUUAUGCUUAUCAGUUUGGCCUCUUUGCGAGGCAUGUGUCGAUGUUGUGCCCAAUCCUAAACUCAGAAAUGGGAUUGUACUGUACGGUGCUUGAGUAAGAUGCAUGAAAUGUAUUGCUACCGUUUUACUGUCACUACUGCGUUCCUCCUGUUCUCGGCGUCGCAGCUUUCCCACAAUGCAUUGUCACCUUCCUGCCCAAGUAUCUCUUUUUUUUUUUUUUUUUUUUUUUUUUUUUUUUUAUUAACAACAAAUCAAUACAUAAAGCACAUGAGGGAACACCAGCAUACAUAGAUUACAAACAAUGGACAAUCGAGCUAGGGGCGGGGCUGGGGGCGGGGCUAGGGGCGGGGCUACAAUAUCACAUUACAAUUACACAAGGACCUUAAGGGACAUGCAUAUACUUACAAUUCUAACAGCUUUUUUGUUAGUAGAGCAUUUAACCGUCUUAAAAUACAGUUCAAUUUCUUUUUGUAGGAUACGAAUCCUGCCCAAGUAUCUCACCUCUCCACCUUCAAAGGAAAUGGUGGAGCCGGAGGCAGCGUUUAUCUAAUCAGUUUCAUGAUUUUACUUCCUGUGAUGGUUCCCGAAAGAGAACUUAAUGAGAGCUUGAAAUCUGAAUGUUAUGCAUGUAUUUUAUUUAUUUUUUAACUUUUUUUUUUAUUCUUAAAAAGUUAACAUUUUAAGUACAUUUUAUCAAUGAUGUUUGUGCAAUAAAUACAUUGAAAUGAAA
Molecule: long non-coding RNA, 2508 nt
Organism: Oncorhynchus nerka (sockeye salmon)
Lineage: Eukaryota; Metazoa; Chordata; Actinopteri; Salmoniformes; Salmonidae
Exons: 2
Source: RefSeq, a predicted model, not a curated record